Molecule: ribosomal RNA, 489 nt
Filed under: fungal sp. 229c1c
Lineage: Eukaryota; Fungi
Description: eukaryotic LSU rRNA
Rfam family: 5.8S ribosomal RNA (bases 173-326)
Source: RNAcentral
GGACGCGCUUCGGCGCACCCAGAAACCCUUUGUGAACUUAUACCUAUCUGUUGCCUCGGCGCAGGCCGGCCUCUUCGCUGAGGCCCCCUGGAGACAGGGAGCAGCCCGCCGGCGGCCAACUAAACUCUUGUUUCUACAGUGAAUCUCUGAGUAAAAAACAUAAAUGAAUCAAAACUUUCAACAACGGAUCUCUUGGUUCUGGCAUCGAUGAAGAACGCAGCGAAAUGCGAUAAGUAAUGUGAAUUGCAGAAUUCAGUGAAUCAUCGAAUCUUUGAACGCACAUUGCGCCCUCUGGUAUUCCGGAGGGCAUGCCUGUUCGAGCGUCAUUUCAACCCUCAAGCCUGGCUUGGUGAUGGGGCACUGCCUGUAAAAGGGCAGGCCCUGAAAUUCAGUGGCGAGCUCGCCAGGACCCCGAGCGUAGUAGUUAUAUCUCGCUUUGGAAGGCCCUGGCGGUGCCCUGCCGUUAAACCCCCAACUUCUGAAAAUUGA